Gossypium raimondii (Peruvian cotton) is the source of this 145-nucleotide non-coding RNA. The record is from Rfam. NCBI's taxonomy places the organism in Eukaryota, Viridiplantae, Streptophyta, Magnoliopsida, Malvales, Malvaceae.
UGUUAAAAAUUUUAUCCAUUUGUACUGUUAAAAAACCAACAUGGCUGACAGAAUAACCAUAUAGUGAUAUGUGAUGUGCCAUGUAUACCUCAUGUUGAUUUACAAUGCCAAUUUUUAAUAAUAGAAAUUGAUGGAUUUUUUAAUA